AUAAAACUGCCACCGGGUAGUAGAUGCUAAAAGCAUCCGUUUGUACAUCGUUAGGUCUUAGAAGAUGUACUUUCGGAUGCUUAUUUUAU
Molecule: non-coding RNA, 89 nt
Filed under: unclassified sequences
Source: RNAcentral